UUAAACUGUCCAUAACAUUUUCUAGCAUCACAACACUCUACAACAACGCCGUAUGCUCAAAAAUUGCAUUAGAAAAUGAUGAAUACUCUUGGUGCCGUUCCUCACGAUAACUACUCAAUGAUUUUAUUACAUAAUUCUGGAUAAUCAUUGGAUUUUAUCUGAAAUUCUUGUUGAAUCAAGUACUCGAGGUACUUUUCGAGAUUGUUGCAGACGAAUGCAAUUUACGCAGAAAAGCAUCACAUCACUCUACAACAACUCGGUAUACUCAAAAAAAGAAUUAGAAAAUGAUGAAUACUCUUGGUGCCGUUCUACACGAUAACUACUCAAUGAUUUUCACGUCAUCACAACACUCUACAACAACUCGGUAUACUCAAAAAUGGCUUUAGAAAACUCGAAACGUACUCGAAGGUGAAAAUCGAAAACUAUUAAUUUAUAUACAAGAUGCAUUUCUUUAUCACAAAUGUGCCAUGAUAGAAAUAAUUAUCAAGAAUGCUUUUGUAGAGAAGACAUCGUAGAUUUAUAC
Long non-coding RNA from Ctenocephalides felis (cat flea), 523 nucleotides. RefSeq lists it as uncharacterized. The transcript is spliced from 5 exons. NCBI's taxonomy places the organism in Eukaryota, Metazoa, Arthropoda, Insecta, Siphonaptera, Pulicidae. The record is from RefSeq and is a predicted model, not a curated record.